Molecule: ribosomal RNA, 506 nt
Filed under: uncultured bacterium
Lineage: Bacteria
Description: partial 16S ribosomal RNA
Rfam family: Bacterial small subunit ribosomal RNA
Source: RNAcentral
GGUGAACGCUGGCGGUAGGCCUAACACAUGCAAGUCGAACGGCAGCACAGGAGAGCUUGCUCUCUGGGUGGCGAGUGGCGGACGGGUGAGGAAUACAUCGGAAUCUACUCUGUCGUGGGGGAUAACGUAGGGAAACUUACGCUAAUACCGCAUACGACCUACGGGUGAAAGCAGGGGACCUUCGGGCCUUGCGCGCUUGAAUGGGCCGAUGUCGGAUUAGCUAGUUGGCGGGGUAAAGGCCCACCAAGGCGAAGAUCGGUAGCUGGUCUGAGAGGAGGAUCAGCCACACUGGAACUGAGACACGGUCCAGACUCCUACGGGAGGCAGCAGUGGGGAAUAUUGGACAAUGGGCGCAAGCCUGAUCCAGCCAUACCGCGUGGGUGAAGAAGGCCUUCGGGUUGUAAAGCCCUUUUGUUGGGAAAGAAAUCCAGCUGGCUAAUACCCGGUUGGGAUGACGGUACCCAAAGAAUAAGCACCGGCUAACUUCGUGCCAGCCGCCGCCGUAA